Molecule: ribosomal RNA, 253 nt
Filed under: uncultured bacterium
Lineage: Bacteria
Description: partial 16S ribosomal RNA
Rfam family: Bacterial small subunit ribosomal RNA
Source: RNAcentral
UACGUAGGUGGCAAGCGUUGUCCGGAUUUACUGGGCGUAAAGGGCGUGCAGGCGGUUUGUUAAGUGCAGGGUGAAAGCUCCCGGCUCAACUGGGAGAGGUCCUUGCAUACUGGCAAACUCGAGGGAGGCAGAGGAAAGUGGGAUUCCCGGUGUAGUGGUGAUAUGCGUAGAUAUCAGGAAGAACACCCGUGGCGAAGGCGGCUCUCUGGGACGGUACUGACGCUGAGACGCGAAAGCGUGGGGAGCGAACAGG